This 219-nucleotide ribosomal RNA is filed under the name uncultured bacterium. Its description in RNAcentral is "partial 16S ribosomal RNA". It matches the Rfam family "Bacterial small subunit ribosomal RNA", at positions 122 to 334 of the family's 1533-position model. The record is from RNAcentral.
UAACCUACCCAUCAGAGGGGGAUAACACUUGGAAACAGGUGCUAAUACCGCAUAACAGUUUAUGCCGCAUGGCAUAAGAGUGAAGGGCGCUUUCGGGUGUCGCUGAUGGAUGGACCCGCGGUGCAUUAGCUAGUUGGUGAGGUAACGGCUCACCAAGGCCACGAUGCAUAGCCGACCUGAGAGGGUGAUCGGCCACACUGGGACUGAGACACGGCCCAG